CGGGCACUGCCCGGUACGAGCCUUACCGAACAUCCCUGAGGCGAUUAUUCUUCCUAGGGGGUUGUCCCUGUUCUGGCCCUGGCCAGAUGCAUAUGAUCCCCACCUGAUGCUAACGGCGUCAGAGGAUAUUCAGGCAAACGGCCACGGCGGUCCCGCC
Sphingomonas panacis is the source of this 157-nucleotide non-coding RNA. The record is from Rfam. Lineage: Bacteria; Pseudomonadati; Pseudomonadota; Alphaproteobacteria; Sphingomonadales; Sphingomonadaceae.